AAUCAAUGUCAUGACGGUGAUCAAAAUAAGCAAUUGGCAAGGAAGCACAAUUGGGGGAAGAAAGCACAAAUAAAACUUAAACAAAAGCAGCCCUGUAAAGUAGUUCUACAGUCUCCAGCCCUGGUUACUCAGCUGAAGAUCCCGAGUCCUGUGACCCAUUUUUCAACAAGUGCCCAGGUACUCUAGCACUUGACGCGGCCCUUGUUGACCCGGGUGACAAUUGAUCCGAAGACUCUAGAAGGUCCUCAGCAUGAACAGUUGUUGGAGCCAUGACACCAUGAACCAGAAAAGAGCCACUUUUAUCUAAAGAGAAGAUAGACAGCCCAUUCCCUUCCCUUCCUUGGUUCUGUAGUAUUAUUUCUCUUCCACUGAAAAUAACCCCCACUUGAAGGAGAAGUGGUGGUUUCUUUCAUCUAAAGUCCCAUAAAGUAUCAAAGGCAGGAAUGUUGAACAUCUUUACCAUCCAGCACACCUACAGUUUAUUAUGAACAGGCUCUGUUAACAGACCGGCUCAAUUAGAGUCCUCUGCCUCCAUGGAUCAAGGCUUUGUGUGGAGGGAUAGCUGGAUAGGCAACAAUGUGGUUCCUGGAAGGCAAUGAAGGACCCUCUCCAAUUGGCAGAAGGAUGAAUAGCCAAGAGAUCAAAGCUCAGAACCCUGCAAGAGAUAAGGAGGCAACGGGCUUGACAGACGGGAGUGCUCAAAGGGAAACCGCCCCAUUUGCUUGGCUGCACAGAAAUAUCAAAUAUCAUCUGCAGGAAAGACAAGGAAAUUUGAAUGUUCAUUACAGUAACUAUUAUAGUAACUAAUUUUUGUGGAAUAAAGGCAUUUCAAAAGCAAGUAAUUUAAGGAUGGAGAAUCUAGGGUUUAGGACACAUGCUGAGGCUUCAGAUACUUGACUGAGAUUAUGUUCUUCACAGUUUUCUCUUGAAUGUCUGCUGAUAGGAUGUGCAGCCUCACUGUGGUGCCACUGCUGUAGGCAUGGAAGCAAUGGCACCACUGAAGAGGACAGCAUUGCUCUACUUGCACUACCAUAAUUUUCACAUUGUGGCAAAGGGGAGAAAUUAUCGUAACACUGGUAGCAUAAUCGCCAUCUUCCAUAGCGGCACUGCUGCUUCUCUGGCCACAGCAGCACCACUACUAUACCCUUGCAUCCUGUUGAGGAUGCACAUCAUGUCUGCCACUGUUUUUCUCUUCCUCACAGCAGAAUUAUUAGAUGGGCUUUACUGUUCUGACCUGAACAGUUCUAGAGCAUCCACAUGAAUGAUCCACCUAGUUUCUCCAAGCAGUAUAACAUUGCUUUGAUUUUGAGGCUUCGGCUAGGCAUUGCCUAGUCUGGGCAAGAUGCUAAAUUCCUACACACAUGGCUUCAUGCUAGUACUCAGAUUCCCCCAGAGUUGUUGUCUGAUUUUGCCUGAAGCAAAACCCUGAGGCAAAUUUGGAAGUUUCUGCUUGGGCAGUAAGAGUUUGGAGGAGACUAUAGCAACUUAUCAAGAUGAUGAGGCACCAGGAU
This is a long non-coding RNA of Hemicordylus capensis (graceful crag lizard), 1511 nucleotides long. RefSeq lists it as uncharacterized. Lineage: Eukaryota; Metazoa; Chordata; Lepidosauria; Squamata; Cordylidae. The transcript has 4 exons. The record is from RefSeq and is a predicted model, not a curated record.